AAUGGCAUUGCCAAUGCAUUGUCCUACUUGCAUCAUGAUUGUGAUCCACCAAUCAUUCACAGGGAUGUAUCAAGCAACAACAUUCUUUUGAAUUCACAGCUUAAAGCAACUCUAUCUGACUUUGGAACUGCAAAGAUUUUGAAACCUGAUUCCUCAAAUCAAACAGUAAUUGCAGGCACCUAUGGUUACAUUGCACCGGCAAGGUGUAGUACAUGAAGAGUUGAUUUUUGGUGGGUAACUAGACCGACCUAAAUCAGUCCUCUCUUGAGUGAGGUGAGAUGAAUUCACUUGUCCGAAGUGGAUGGCGGGGCUUCUCCCCUGGGAUCACUCCGACGAUCAAGUUAGUACGAGAACGAGAAAAGCAAUAGUAUUUGUGAAUGAACAGUAUGCUUACUUGUUGGGAGUAUGUGUGGGGUAUUUAUAGAGUGAGAGUGAGAGAUAGGACAGAGGGCUUAUGCUGGCGGGACCCACGUCCUGACAUUACGGCUCUGCUCCCUGUCAGGAGGUCUGACUCUGACACUGUAGCCGCCUGUGCAGGGUGACAGGGGACCUUGCGUAGUUGCCAUUAAGAAUACCAGGUGCUUUUCAGAUAAAGCACUGGUCUCGGAUGAUGUCAGGCGGGCUGACAUCAUCGGCGUGCAGCCGAGGUGGAAACCUGUGGUGCAGAGGCCAUCUAAACAGUUGGCCAGGGGCCUGCCCAAGGUCAGGGAUCAUGCUCAAGACAACACUUCACUCGCGUGAGGGACGAAAUGAGAUCACCUCGGCCUUACAGGGACUGCCGAGAGCUAGCCUAUACCGUGGCGGUCACUGAAAAGUCCGAUGUGUAUAGCUUUGGCGUUGUGGUGCUGGAAACGCUGUUUGGAGAGCAUCCACAAGAAUUCCUUUCUUGCGUAUCAUCACAACCCAAUGAACCAAUAAUGAUGAAGGAUCUUCUUGAUGCCCGUCUGCCCCCUCCGACUAACCCUUUGGUCGUUCGAAAUGUGGUUGUCGCGACAGCGUUGGCCCUGGAUUGCGUCAACGCAAACCCAAAAUUUCGACCAACAAUGCAGCAAGUGGUGAACCGAUUUGAAGUGGGCAGGCGAGAAUCAACUAGGCCUUUGCACACCAUUGCUGUGAAUCAGUUUAUAAAAGUAGAAACAUGACCAAGCACUGAGAUUAUUGCAUAUACCAUAUAGUGUACUAAUAAAAAUAGAAAAAAAGAAAGUGUGCUAAUUAAUGAAAAG
This is a non-coding RNA of Coffea arabica (coffee), 1223 nucleotides long. The record is from RefSeq and is a predicted model, not a curated record. Lineage: Eukaryota; Viridiplantae; Streptophyta; Magnoliopsida; Gentianales; Rubiaceae.